GAUCCUCCUGCCUCAGCUUCCUACAUAGCUAGGACUACAGGCAUGCACUACCAUGCCCAGCUAAGUUUAUAUGUGUGUGUGUGUGUGUGUGUGUGUGUGUGUGUGUGUGUGUAUUAUUUAUUUAUUUAUUUUUAGUAGGUGGAGUCUCGCUCUGUCACCGAGCCUGGAAUGCAGUGGUGAGAGCUCACUGCAGCCUCUGCCUCCCAGGUUCCGGUGAUCCUCCUGCCUCAGCCUCCUGAGUAGCUGGGACUAUGGGUGCGCACCACCACCAUGCCUGGCUCUUUUUUUUUCUGGAGACAGAGUUUUGCUCUUGUUGACCAGGCUGGAGUGCAGUGGCGCUAUCUCGGCUCACCACAACCUCUGUCUCCCAGGUUCAAGUGGUUCUCCUGCCUUAGUCUCCCGAGUAGCUAGGAUUACAGGCAUGCGCCACCAUGCCUGGCUAAUUUUGUGUUUUUGGUGGAGACGGUUUCCCUGUGUUGGUCAGGCUGGUCUCGAACUUCCGACUUCAGGUGAUCCGCCCACCUUGGCCUCCCAAAGUGUUGGGAUUACAGGCGUGAGCCACCGUGCCCAGCCUUUUUUUGUAUUUUUAUAUUUGGUUAAUUUCUUUCUACCCCAUAGAAUAAAACUGACAUAAAACAUAACAAAAAGAAAAAAGCAUAGGCCAGGCAUGGUGGCUUAUGCCUGUAAUUCUAGCACUUUGAGAGGCUGAGGUGGGCGGAUCACUUGAGGUCAGGAGUUCAAGACCAGCCUGGCCAAUAUGGCAAAGCCUUCUCUCUAUACUAAAAAUACAAAAAAAGGCGGAGGUUGCAGUGAGCUAAGAUUGCGCCAUGGCACUCCAGCCUGAGCAACAGCACAAGACUCUGUCUUAAAAAAAAAAAUGUAUUUAUCUGGAAGACAAAUGUCAAAUCUUAAUAGUGGUUAUCCCUGGAUUAGAGCAUUUUGGUGUGUUGCUUUCCUGGUAGAAUAUUGUUUUAAUGAAAAUGGAUCAAAGGAGGACAUAGAUGGGUGAAAACCAUGAGGAAUUGACUUUGACAUUCUUAAUUGCAUCAGCAGAAAUAGUUAAAAAGUACUUCUAAAACCACUUGCAUGAACUAGGUGUUUAAGGGGAACCGCUCACGCUUAUUCUCAGAUACAUUAAUAAAAGGACACUUGAAGUCUAUGAAGAAGAUAGCUGUUCCAGCCUUACCGCACAUUUUCUUCCUGAGUGAAAAUAGGAACUUAUGUAUUGGUGGCCAUCUUGACAUGAAACUACAAGAUCCUUCCCAACAGUAUCAUCCUACACUGAAACCUGGAACCAAAUCCAUUCCCAUUCAGCAAAUGUUGAUCAAGUGGCAUGUAGGGGAUACAGAGAUGAUUGCAUACAAAGAUGAAAAAGAAAACGUUUCUGCCAGGGCCAGGCGCGGUGACUCACACCUACAAUUCCAGCACUUUGGGAGGCCAAGGCAGGUAGAAUUGCUUGAGUUUGAGUUCGAGACCAGCCUGGGCAACAUAGUUGACCUUAUCUCUACUUAAAUAAAAAUAAUCAGCCAGGCAUGGUGGCAUGUGACUGUAGUUCCAGCUACUUUGGGAAGCUGAGGUGCCAUUGCACUCCAGCCUGGUCAGCAAGAGCAAAAAAAAAAAAAAAAAAAAUGUGCACAUCAAAGAUCAUAGCCCCGGCACAUCGAAGCUGCAAUGAGCUAUGAUUGCAUCACUGCACUCCAGCCUGGGUGACAGAAUGAGACCCCGUUGCAAAAAAAAAAAAAAAAGUUUGCCAGUAUCAGACGUGAAAAAUAAACUUAAGAUACUUGAAGAUGACAAGUAAAUCAUCUUCCCAUUUUACAGAUUUUAUGGAAAGAACUCUUCUUAUGUCCAUGGGGGAUUGGAUUCAAAUGGAAAGCCAGCAGAUGCAGUCUACGGACAGAAAGUAAGCAUUUCAAGCCUUAUUUAGGCUGUUAAGCAGGUAGAAAAUAACUCAUAAAAUUGAAGUGGAUCAUACUUAAUAGAUUUGCUGAUAAAGAUCCAGUUUCUCAACUUUUUAGUAAAAGUUGAUGUGUUUUAUUACUAUUUGAUUAAUAUAUUUGUUGAAAUACUUAUGUGAUGUCAGAUUUGUUAAUUUUGUAUGAUAUAUUCUAAAGCUUUUGUGUGUUGGAAGAUAAUUGGCUUUAGCAUGGGGAUCAUCUUUUCUAAACUUUGAAAAGUGUGUUAAUUCAGGACAGUUAUUUAAAAAACUCAAGCGCGGUCACUGGGAAUAGAGUAUACAAAGAAACAUCAAAAUUCAGUCUGCAUAUCCUGUAAUUUAAAUAUACACAUUCUCUUUGUGUUGUGUUGGAAGGUUUUUUUUAGUUGGAGGUUAUUUAAAUUUUAAGGCAUUCUCAGUUGAUUAUUAUUAUUAUUAUUAUUUUUUUAAGGAAAUCCACAGGAAAGUGAUGUCACAAAACUUCACCAACUGCCACACCAAGAUUCGCCAUGUUGAUGCUCAUGCCACGCUAAAUGAUGGUGUGGUAGUCCAGGUGAUGGGGCUUCUCUCUAACAACAACCAGGCUUUGAGGAGAUUCAUGCAAACGUUUGUCCUUGCUCCUGAGGUAUGUGUAGGAAUGAUUAUUUUGUAGUGAUCCAAUACAUGAAAAAAGAAACAAUGAACUGUUGUGCAUAUCUUUAAAAACACUUGAAAUUUCAGACUUACAGAAAACUUGGAAUAAUAGUACACUAACUCCUAUAUACUCCUUACCUAGAGCAGCUGUCACCACUUGCCCACAUGUGUAUAAUUCUUUCUCUAAAAUAGUUUAGUGGGCAUUUCCUAAGAAUAAUUCUCUUCCAUUCUGUAGUACAGUUAUCAAAUUCAGGAAAUGUUGAUGCAAUAUAAUCUAUAAUCCAUUUUUAAAAUUUGGAAAUUAUCUCAAUAAUGUCUUAACAGUAAUUUUUUUUCCUUGUCCAACAUGGAAUCUAUAAUUACACAUUGCAUUUAGCUAUCAUGUCUCUAGUCUCUUCUAAUCUGCACUUGUUCCUUAAUCUUUUGUUUUUUUUUAUUGCAUUGACAUUUUUGAAGAGCACACUUUUUUUGUAGGAUGCUUUAUGG
This 3055-nucleotide long non-coding RNA is filed under the name Homo sapiens (human). Its description in RNAcentral is "long non-coding RNA NONHSAT203433.1". The record is from RNAcentral. Lineage: Eukaryota; Metazoa; Chordata; Mammalia; Primates; Hominidae.